CAGGCCUAACACAUGCAAGUCGAACGGCAGCACGGGAGCAAUCCUGGUGGCGAGUGGCGAACGGGUGAGUAAUACAUCGGAACGUGCCCAGUUGUGGGGGAUAGCCCGGCGAAAGCCGGAUUAAUACCGCAUACGACCUGAGGGUGAAAGCGGGGGAUCGCAAGACCUCGCGCGAUUGGAGCGGCCGAUGUCAGAUUAGCUAGUUGGUGGGGUAAAGGCCUACCAAGGCGACGAUCUGUAGCUGGUCUGAGAGGACGACCAGCCACACUGGGACUGAGACACGGCCCAGACUCCUACGGGAGGCAGCAGUGGGGAAUUUUGGACAAUGGGCGCAAGCCUGAUCCAGCAAUGCCGCGUGCGGGAAGAAGGCCUUCGGGUUGUAAACCGCUUUUGUCAGGGAAGAAACGCUCUGGGUUAAUACCCCUGGGGUAAUGACGGUACCUGAAGAAUAAGCACCGGCUAACUACGUGCCAGCAGCCGCGGUAAU
RNAcentral lists this ribosomal RNA (487 nucleotides) under uncultured bacterium. RNAcentral's name for it is "bacterial SSU rRNA". It matches the Rfam family "Bacterial small subunit ribosomal RNA", at positions 43 to 524 of the family's 1533-position model. The record is from RNAcentral.